GGGAGCCAUCAGCGGGUUUUCACAGCCCAGAAUCCUAAGUGAAUGGCCCUUGUCUCUCCAUCACCACCUGCCUCAACCUGACCUUUGUGUCUCCCCGCCCCCCACUUUCCUCUCCACCCAACCGGUCAGCUUCUCCCACCUUACUGUUCUGUGCCAACAGCCCUGCCCUCCUCCUCCCCGCCCAGACCCAGGUCCCAGGAGUGGAGUCGUCUCUGACUCUCCUCUGACACUGGGAUACAGGUUCACGCGAAGCCCUGUCCUGCUCCGGGGCUGCAACACCAGGCACCUUCAUUUCAGGUGACAGCACCUUCUGGAAGCUGGUUGAAGUCGGGCACUGCUUCCCCCACGGCUCUACCCUGUGCCAGGCUCUAUGUUGACUGUUCGAUCCUCAGUGAUGUGGUUUGAAGUUUGGAUCCACACACCAAUGGGCAAGAAAGAAUCCUGAAGAUGUUUUCGGGGGCAAAAUGGUGUUUUUAUUAAAGCUCAGGACAAGACCCAUGGGCAGAAAGAGCCACUCUGGGACCACAGAUGUUGGAACCGGGGGAGGUGGAGACAAAGGAAGUUCGCAAAAGGACUUUCAUAUGACAUAGAGAGGCAGAGACACAGGCAGAGGGAGAAGCAGGCUUCAUGCCAGGAGCCCGACGCGGGACUCAAUCCCAAGACUCCAGGAUCGCGCCCUGGGCCAAAGGCAGGCGCCAAACCACUGAGCCACCCAGGGAUCCCCCACCUCUAGGAAUAUUUUGAUGGAGACAUCAUGGGAAGCCCUUCUGAUCCCUGAAAUUCCUUGUUCCCAUUCAAAACAUUGCAAAU
Molecule: long non-coding RNA, 810 nt
Organism: Canis lupus familiaris (dog)
Lineage: Eukaryota; Metazoa; Chordata; Mammalia; Carnivora; Canidae
Exons: 3
Source: RefSeq, a predicted model, not a curated record